ACGCUCGACACCUACGGGAGGCAGCAGUCGGGAAUAUUGCGCAAUGGAGGAAACUCUGACGCAGUGACGCCGCGUAUAGGAAGAAGGUUUUCGGAUUGUAAACUAUUGUCGUUAGGGAAGAAAAAAGACAGUACCUAAGGAGGAAGCUCCGGCUAACUACGUGCCGGCAGUCGCGGUAAUCUGAGCGGGCUGGCAAGGC
RNAcentral lists this ribosomal RNA (199 nucleotides) under uncultured bacterium. RNAcentral describes it as "partial 16S ribosomal RNA". It matches the Rfam family "Bacterial small subunit ribosomal RNA", at positions 328 to 539 of the family's 1533-position model. The record is from RNAcentral.